Molecule: ribosomal RNA, 253 nt
Filed under: uncultured bacterium
Lineage: Bacteria
Description: partial 16S ribosomal RNA
Rfam family: Bacterial small subunit ribosomal RNA
Source: RNAcentral
UACGUAGGGUGCGAGCGUUGCCCGGAAUUAUUGGGCGUAAAGGGCUCGUAGGCGGUUUGUCGCGUCGGAAGUGAAAACACGGGGCUUAACUCUGUGCUUGCUUUCGAUACGGGCAGACUAGAGGGAUGCAGGGGAGAACGGAAUUCCUGGUGUAGCGGUGAAAUGCGCAGAUAUCAGGAGGAACACCGGUGGCGAAGGCGGUUCUCUGGGCAUUCCCUGACGCUGAGGAGCGAAAGUGUGGGGAGCGAACAGG